This 459-nucleotide ribosomal RNA is filed under the name uncultured bacterium. RNAcentral describes it as "partial 16S ribosomal RNA". It matches the Rfam family "Bacterial small subunit ribosomal RNA", at positions 338 to 795 of the family's 1533-position model. The record is from RNAcentral.
CCUACGGGUGGCAGCAGUGGGGAAUAUUGGGCAAUGGGAGAAAGCCUGAAGCAGCCAAGCCGCGUGAGGGAAGAAGGCCCUCUGGGUUGUAACCCUCGUUUGCCGGGGAAAAAAACCCGGGACGUGUCCAGGACUGCGUGUAUCCGAAGAAAAAGCAUCGGCUAACUCCGUGCCAGCAGCCGCGGUAAUACGGAGGAGGCGAGCUUUAUCCGGAUUGAUUGGGUUAAAGGGGUGCGUAGGCGGUCCGUUAAGUCAGCGGUAAGGUCGCGGGGCUCACCCCGGUCGAGCCGUUGAAACUGGCAGACUUGAGUUGGCGAGAGGUACGCGGAAUGCGCGGUGUAGCGGUGAAAUGCAUAGAUAUCGCGCAGAACUCCGAUGGCGAAGGCAGCGUACCGGCGCCAGACUGACGCUGAGGCACGAAAGCGUGGGGAUCGAACAGGAUUAGAUACCCUGGUAGUC